Molecule: small nucleolar RNA, 107 nt
Filed under: Phaseolus vulgaris (common bean)
Lineage: Eukaryota; Viridiplantae; Streptophyta; Magnoliopsida; Fabales; Fabaceae
Description: Plant small nucleolar RNA R71
Rfam family: Plant small nucleolar RNA R71
About the family: R71 is a member of the C/D box family of snoRNAs containing the C (UGAUGA) and D (CUGA) box motifs. Multiple nearly identical copies of this snoRNA have been identified in Arabidopsis, and it is thought to function as a 2'-O-ribose methylation guide for 18S ribosomal RNA.
Source: Rfam by way of RNAcentral
AGUUGACCAUUUGGGCAUUUUCUCAAUAUCAUCUUGAAUCUUUCCCAUGUCUCAUAGAAGACUUCAUUUGCUCCUUGUCCGAACAUAGAGAUUUCAUACUUUGCUAU